UUAAAUUGAAGAGUUUGAUCAUGGCUCAGAUUGAACGCUGGCGGCAGGCCUAACACAUGCAAGUCGAACGGUAACAGGAAGAAGCUUGCUUCUUUGCUGACGAGUGGCGGACGGGUG
RNAcentral lists this ribosomal RNA (117 nucleotides) under Escherichia coli. RNAcentral's name for it is "partial 16S ribosomal RNA". It matches the Rfam family "Bacterial small subunit ribosomal RNA", at positions 1 to 108 of the family's 1533-position model. Lineage: Bacteria; Pseudomonadati; Pseudomonadota; Gammaproteobacteria; Enterobacterales; Enterobacteriaceae. RNAcentral also lists the same sequence under 1 other name. The record is from RNAcentral.